UACGUAGGGGGCAAGCGUUGUCCGGAUUUACUGGGCGUAAAGCGCACGUAGGCGGAUCGAUCAGUCAGGGGUGAAAUCCCAGAGCUCAACUCUGGAACUGCCUUUGAUACUGAAGAUCUUGAGUUCGGGAGAGGUGAGUGGAACUGCGAGUGUAGAGGUGAAAUUCGUAGAUAUUCGCAAGAACACCAGUGGCGAAGGCGGCUCACUGGCCCGAUACUGACGCUGAGGCACGAAAGCGUGGGGAGCAAACAGG
This 253-nucleotide ribosomal RNA is filed under the name uncultured bacterium. RNAcentral describes it as "partial 16S ribosomal RNA". It matches the Rfam family "Bacterial small subunit ribosomal RNA", at positions 524 to 776 of the family's 1533-position model. The record is from RNAcentral.